Molecule: ribosomal RNA, 454 nt
Filed under: uncultured bacterium
Lineage: Bacteria
Description: partial 16S ribosomal RNA
Rfam family: Bacterial small subunit ribosomal RNA
Source: RNAcentral
GAUGAACGCUGACGGAAUGCUUAACACAUGCAAGUCAACUUGAACUUCGGUUUGGGUGGCGGACGGGUGAGUAACGCGUAAAGAACUUGCCUCACAGCUAGGGACAACAUUUGGAAACGAAUGCUAAUACCUGAUAUUAUGAUUAUAGGGCAUCGUAUAAUUAUGAAAGCUAUAUGCGCUGUGAGAGAGCUUUGCGUCCCAUUAGCUAGUUGGAGAGGUAACAGCUCACCAAGGCGAUGAUGGGUAGCCGGCCUGAGAGGGUGAUCGGCCACAAGGGGACUGAGACACGGCCCUUACUCCUACGGGAGGCAGCAGUGGGGAAUAUUGGACAAUGGACCGAGAGUCUGAUCCAGCAAUUCUGUGUGCACGAUGAAGUUUUUCGGAAUGUAAAGUGCUUUCAGUUGGGAAGAAAAAAAUGACGGUACCAACAGAAGAAGUGACGGCUAAAUACGUG